Molecule: ribosomal RNA, 253 nt
Filed under: uncultured bacterium
Lineage: Bacteria
Description: partial 16S ribosomal RNA
Rfam family: Bacterial small subunit ribosomal RNA
Source: RNAcentral
UACGUAGGUGGCAAGCGUUAUCCGGAAUUAUUGGGCGUAAAGAGCGCGCAGGUGGUUAAUUAAGUCUGAUGUGAAAGCCCACGGCUUAACCGUGGAGGGUCAUUGGAAACUGGUUGACUUGAGUGCAGAAGAGGGAAGUGGAAUUCCAUGUGUAGCGGUGAAAUGCGUAGAGAUAUGGAGGAACACCAGUGGCGAAGGCGGCUUCCUGGCCUGUAACUGACACUGAGGCUCGAAAGCGUGGGGAGCAAACAGG